GAGCACGUAGGUGGGUUUGUAAGUCAGAUGUGAAAGCCUUCUGUUCAACGGAAGAAUUGCAUCUGAAACUACAAGUCUUGAGUAUAGGAGGGGAGAAUGGAACUUCUGGUGGAGCGGUGAAAUGCGUAGAUAUCAGAAGGAACGCCGGCGGCGAAAGCGAUUCUCUGGCCUAUUACUGACACUCAGUGUGCGAAAGCUAGGGGAGCAAACGGGAUUAGAUACCCCGGUAGUCCUAGCCGUAAACGAUGGGCACUAAGUAGAGGGGAUUACCGAUGUUCUCUCUGCCGUAGCUAACGCAUUAAGUGCCCCGCCUGGGGAGUACGGCCGCAAGGCUAAAACUCAAAAGAAUUGACGGGGGCUCGCACAAGCGGUGGAGCAUGUGGCUUAAUUCGAUGCAACGCGAAGAACCUUACCGGGGCUUGACAUGGUAGAAGUAGGAACCUGAAAGGGUAACAAACGGUAUCCAGUCCGUAGCUAUCACAGGUGUUGCAUGGCUGUCGUCAGCUCGUGUCGUGAGACGUUGGGUUAAGUCCCCUAACGAGCGAAACCCUUAUUUUUAGUUACCAGCGGGUUGUGCCGGGUACUCUAGAAAGACUGCCGUCGUCAAGACGGAGGAAGGUGGGGAUGACGUCAAGUCAUCAUGGCCCUUAUGCCCCGGGCUGCACACGUGCUACAAUGGUCGGUACAAACGGAAGCGAAGCCGAGAGGUGAAGCGAAUCC
This 720-nucleotide ribosomal RNA is filed under the name uncultured anaerobic ammonium-oxidizing bacterium. RNAcentral describes it as "bacterial SSU rRNA". It matches the Rfam family "Bacterial small subunit ribosomal RNA", at positions 565 to 1274 of the family's 1533-position model. The record is from RNAcentral.